AUGGCCGCCGCCGCCGACUCCGGGCCCGAGCUGCGGCGGAGCUCCAGCAUCGACCGCAUCCCGGCGGAGGCGCGCCGCAUCCUGCACCGCCUCGCCGGCGAGCUCUGGGGCGCCGACGUCGACCCCGCCGCGCUCGUCGUGUACCAGCUCCAGGGCGCCCUCACCAACGAGGUCUUCCGCAUCACCUGGCCCGGCGGCGAGGGCGACCCGCGCAAGGUGCUCGUGCGCAUCUACGGCCAGGGCGUCGAGGUCUUCUUCGACCGCGCCGACGAGGUCCGCACCUUCGAGUGCAUGUCCCGCCACGGCCAGGGCCCCCGCCUCCUCGGCCGCUUCCCCCAGGGCCGCGUCGAGGAGUUCAUCAACGCCAGGACGCUCUCGGCGCCGGAUCUGCGCGACCCGGAGAUUUCCGGCCUGAUUGCCAGGAAGCUGCGGGAGUUUCACGAGCUCGACAUGCCUGGACCCAAGGACAUCUCGCUCUGGCAGAGGCUGAGGCGGUGGCUUGAGGAAGCUCGCAGCAGGUGCUCGACUGAGGAGGCUAGGGAAUUGCGGUUGGAGACGCUCGGCGAUGAGAUUGCGGAGCUGGAGAAUGUAUUGUCCGGGGUCGAUCAGAGAGUAGUGUUUUGCCAUAAUGAUUUGCAGUAUGGGAACAUUAUGAUAUAUGAAGAGACCAGACAAGUGACCUUAAUUGACUAUGAAUACGCCAGUUUUAACCCUGUUGCGUUUGACAUUGCGAAUCACUUCUGCGAGAUGGCUGCUGAUUAUCAUAGUGAUACACCGCACGUGAUGGACUUUACAAAAUAUCCUGACGUGGAUGAACAGAGGAGAUUUCUUGAGGCUUACCUUAGUUCUUCAGGAGAAAACCCAUCCGAUGUAGAAGUCGAAACAUUGCUUGGCUUGAUUGCAAAGUACAGUCUCACAAGCCAUCUCUUCUGGGGUCUCUGGGGAAUAGUCUCGGCGCAUGUGAACAAGAACAUCGACUUCGAGUACAAGGAGUACGCGAGGCAUCGGUUGGACCAGUACUGGGACACGAAGCCUAGAAUACUGCAAGCCUGCAACCCAACCAGCUGA
This 1068-nucleotide ribosomal RNA is filed under the name Triticum aestivum (bread wheat). Its description in RNAcentral is "partial small subunit ribosomal RNA". Lineage: Eukaryota; Viridiplantae; Streptophyta; Magnoliopsida; Poales; Poaceae. The record is from RNAcentral.